CAGAAUCAAACUUAACAUCAAAAAUGUUGACAAAACAUAAAACAACCUAUUCUUCUUGAUUUUUAAUCCUCAGUAAAUAACAUUUGGAAAUCUUUUAAAACCUCUGUGUUCCUCACCAAUAUUUAGUCUUUUAUCAAGAUAUGAUAGUUUCACUCUGAAAUAUUUAUAGACUAAACUUUAUAUCUAGAACCAUUACACUUUUAUUCAAACUGCUACGUUUUUUUACCUGGACUACCAUAAUGGUCUUCCUAACUGGUCUUGCAUGCAUAGUCCUUUUCCCUUUCUUCCAAUAUAUUAAACUAGUGUGUUCUUUUGAAAAUAUGGAGCUUCCUGCUUUUAGGACAAAGGCCGGAAUUUGUAUUAUAGCCUUUAAGACCUACAUAGUUGGCUCCUGCCAACCUCUUUAGCUUUCUCUUGUAACAAGAUCUCUAAAUUCUAACCUCCUUGGCCUUUUCUUUGUUCUCAAAUACACUUUCUUUUUUUUCUUCCUUCUUAUCCUUUGACUAAUUGACUCUUUACUCUUCAUGCAGACUUUGUUCAGUCAUCUACUUUAGAGAAGUCUGACUUCAUUUACUGGCUGAAGUUCCUGUUAUAUAUUUCCGUAUCAUUCCUUCAUUGUACCUUCCACAGUUAUUAUUAGUGUGAUUCUUUAAUGUUUGU
RNAcentral lists this long non-coding RNA (660 nucleotides) under Marmota monax (woodchuck). Lineage: Eukaryota; Metazoa; Chordata; Mammalia; Rodentia; Sciuridae. The record is from RNAcentral.